RNAcentral lists this ribosomal RNA (207 nucleotides) under uncultured bacterium. RNAcentral's name for it is "partial 16S ribosomal RNA". It matches the Rfam family "Bacterial small subunit ribosomal RNA", at positions 568 to 774 of the family's 1533-position model. The record is from RNAcentral.
CGCGUAGGUGGCGCGACAAGCGUGCGGUGAAAGCCCGGGGCUCAACUCCGGGUCGGCCGUGCGAACUGUCGGGCUCGAGCAUGGUAGAGGCGGGUGGAAUUCCGGGUGUAGCGGUGGAAUGCGUAGAGAUCCGGAAGAACACCGGUGGCGAAGGCGGCCCGCUGGGCCAUGGCUGACACUGAGGCGCGACAGCGUGGGGAGCAAACA